RNAcentral lists this ribosomal RNA (378 nucleotides) under Triticum aestivum (bread wheat). Its description in RNAcentral is "partial small subunit ribosomal RNA". It matches the Rfam family "Eukaryotic large subunit ribosomal RNA", at positions 257 to 643 of the family's 3401-position model. Lineage: Eukaryota; Viridiplantae; Streptophyta; Magnoliopsida; Poales; Poaceae. The record is from RNAcentral.
UCAACGAGUCGGGUUGUUUGGGAAUGCAGCCCAAAUCGGGCGGUAGACUCCGUCCAAGGCUAAAUACAGGCGAGAGACCGAUAGCGAACAAGUACCGCGAGGGAAAGAUGAAAAGGACUUUGAAAAGAGAGUCAAAGAGUGCUUGAAAUUGCCGGGAGGGAAGCGGAUGGGGGCCGGCGAUGCGCCCCGGCCGUAUGCGGAACGGCUCUUGCUGGUCCGCCGCUCGGCUCGGGGUGUGGACUGUUGUCGGCCGCGCCGGCGGCCAAAGCCCGGGGGCCCUAGGUGCCCCCGGUGGCCGUCGUCGGCACGGCCGGUACCCGCGCGCCGAAAGGCGUGUCCCUCGGGGCACUGCGCUGCAACGGCCCGCGGGCUCCCCAU